Molecule: ribosomal RNA, 726 nt
Filed under: uncultured bacterium
Lineage: Bacteria
Description: bacterial SSU rRNA
Rfam family: Bacterial small subunit ribosomal RNA
Source: RNAcentral
GACGAACGUUGGCGGCGUGCUUAACACAUGCAAGUCGAACGAGAAUCUGUGGAUAGAGGAUUCGUCCAAUUGAAGCAGAGGAAAGUGGCGGACGGGUGAGUAACGCGUGAGGAACCUGCCUUGGAGAGGGGGACAACAGCUGGAAACGGCUGCUAAUACCGCAUAAUAUAUCUGAAUCGCAUGGUUUGGAUAUCAAAGAUUUAUCGCUCUGAGAUGGCCUCGCGUCUGAUUAGGUAGUUGGCGGGGUAACGGCCCACCAAGCCGACGAUCAGUAGCCGGACUGAGAGGUUGAACGGCCACAUUGGGACUGAGAUACGGCCCAGACUCCUACGGGAGGCAGCAGUGGGGAAUAUUGGGCAAUGGGCGCAAGCCUGACCCAGCAACGCCGCGUGAAGGAAGAAGGCUUUCGGGUUGUAAACUUCUUUUAAGGGGGAAGAGGAGAAGACGGUACCCCUAGAAUAAGCCACGGCUAACUACGUGCCAGCAGCCGCGGUAAUACGUAGGUGGCAAGCGUUGUCCGGAUUUACUGGGUGUAAAGGGCGUGUAGCCGGGGGAGCAAGUCAGAUGUGAAAUCUAUGGGCUUAACCCAUAAACUGCAUUUGAAACUGUUCUUCUUGAGUGCUGGAGGGGCAAUCGGAAUUCCUUGUGUAGCGGUGAAAUGCGUAGAUAUAAGGAGGAACACCAGUGGCGAAGGCGGAUUGCUGGACAGUAACUGACGGUGAGGCG